Long non-coding RNA from Gallus gallus (chicken), 811 nucleotides. Lineage: Eukaryota; Metazoa; Chordata; Aves; Galliformes; Phasianidae. The record is from Ensembl.
UGAAGCGACAACUCAAACGCUGCUGCAAGUUGUUACCAUGCAAAUGCUUCCACAUGGGCAACCACGAGUGCCAUGCACGGUGGAAAAGAAUUAUCUUUCUUAAGUACUCCUCAAAAAGAAAGGAAAAGCAUGGCCAUUGGAAGUGCCAAAAUGAGACUCCUCAAUAUUUACAUUUUUUCUCUAUUCAAGAAGAGGAAAUUUGUUGGGGUAGUGGGGAGUACUGAUUCUAGUAAGACUCUCUUUUUAUGUGUCUUAUCUGAGGUACUUCUCACUCAUAAAGGAAAUGUUCUUGUCUCUCAGAAGGCCUCUGCUCAACCCAGAAAAUGAAAGAAACCCAUGAGAAAGCCUGGUGCUUUUCAGAGGUGUCUUCUGUUGUCCACCUACUUUUCUUGCUUUUACACUGCUGACUACUGACCUCUGACAAAAACUUCACAAAAACUGUACUGCUCACUUCUUGCACGCUUUGGUCACUGAUGAACCCAAGUCAUCUAGAGCACACAGAGCACUGAAUGUAUCAGCUCUGAUUUUAUACUCCAAUUCAUGGGAACACCCAGGAGAUCUUCUAUUCUGGACUUCCACAAAUGCUUGCAGAAGAACAGCAUGGGUUACAUUUGCGUUGGGAUUUAAAUAUUCCCUUCACUCUGACAACAAUUAGAGUGCUAUUUUCUACUUAGCUGUAAAUUAGAGCUCUGAAUAACAAUGGAGAGGUCUAACCACCCCCUGCUCUACCAGCAUUCCCUCAUGAACUCGGCAGUUUUUGGUAACAAUGCAGUUGUGCUCUAAGAUUUUAUUUUGCACAAGUGUCUUUGGG